This 60-nucleotide transfer RNA is filed under the name Cernuella virgata. RNAcentral describes it as "tRNA-Arg". The record is from RNAcentral. Lineage: Eukaryota; Metazoa; Mollusca; Gastropoda; Stylommatophora; Geomitridae.
GUUAAAACGCAAAUAGCAUUUAAGUUUCGGCCUUAAACUUGGGUAAUGUCCCUUUUAAUA